UGGGGAAUCUUGCACAAUGGGGGCAACCCUGAUGCAGCGACGCCGCGUGAGCGAUGAAGCCCUUCGGGGCGUAAAGCCCUUUCGACCGGAACGAUAAUGACGGUACCGGGAGAAGAAGCUGCGGCUAACUACGUGCCAGCAGCCGCGAUAAUACGUAGGCAGCAAGCGUUGUUCGGAGUUACUGGGCGUAAAGAGUGCGUAGGCGGUUUUCUAAGUUCGGUGUGAAAUCUCCCGGCUUAACUGGGAGGGUGCGCCGAAGACUGGGAAGCUGGAGUUUGGGAAAGGCAGGCGGAAUUCCUGGUGUAGCGGUGAAAUGCGUAGAUAUCAGGAGGAACACCGGCGGUGUAGACGGCUUGCUAGACCAUAACUGACGCUGAGGCACGAAAGCGUGGGUAGCAAACA
RNAcentral lists this ribosomal RNA (402 nucleotides) under uncultured bacterium. RNAcentral's name for it is "bacterial SSU rRNA". It matches the Rfam family "Bacterial small subunit ribosomal RNA", at positions 355 to 774 of the family's 1533-position model. The record is from RNAcentral.